GACGAACGCUGGCGGCGUGCUUAACACAUGCAAGUCGAACGGAAAGGCCCUGCUUUUGUGGGGUGCUCGAGUGGCGAACGGGUGAGUAACACGUGAGUAACCUGCCCUUGACUUUGGGAUAACUUCAGGAAACUGGGGCUAAUACCGGAUAGGAGCUCCUGCUGCAUGGUGGGGGUUGGAAAGUUUCGGCGGUUGGGGAUGGACUCGCGGCUUAUCAGCUUGUUGGUGGGGUAGUGGCUUACCAAGGCUCUGACGGGUAGCCGGCCUGGGAGGGUGACCGGCCACAUUGGGACUGGGGUACGGCCCAGACUCCUACGGGAGGCAGCGGUGGGGAAUAUUGCGCAGUGGGCGGGAGCCUGAUGCAGCGACGCCGCGUGCGGGAUGACGGCCUUCGGGUUGUAAACCGCUUUCGCCUGUGACGGAGCGUGAGUGACGGUAAUGGGUAAGGAAGCACCGGCUAACUACGUG
Molecule: ribosomal RNA, 468 nt
Filed under: uncultured bacterium
Lineage: Bacteria
Description: partial 16S ribosomal RNA
Rfam family: Bacterial small subunit ribosomal RNA
Source: RNAcentral